GUGCCAGCAGCCGCGGUAAUACCGGCAGCUCAAGUGAUGGCCACUCUUAUUGGGCCUAAAGCGUCCGUAGCUGGCCGCGCAAGUCCGUCGGGAAAUCCAUCAGCUCAACUGAUGGGCGUUCGGCGGAAACUGCACGGCUUGGGACCGGAAGGCUCGAGAGGUACGUCCGGGGUAGGAGUGAAAUCCCGUAAUCCCGCACGGACCACCGAUGGCGAAAGCACUUCGAGAAAACGGAUCCGACAGUGAGGGACGAAAGCCAGGGUCUCCAACCGGAUUAGAUACCCGAGUAGUCC
RNAcentral lists this ribosomal RNA (293 nucleotides) under uncultured bacterium. RNAcentral describes it as "partial 16S ribosomal RNA". It matches the Rfam family "Archaeal small subunit ribosomal RNA", at positions 455 to 747 of the family's 1478-position model. The record is from RNAcentral.